Molecule: ribosomal RNA, 262 nt
Filed under: Luminiphilus sp.
Lineage: Bacteria; Pseudomonadati; Pseudomonadota; Gammaproteobacteria; Cellvibrionales; Halieaceae
Description: partial 23S ribosomal RNA
Rfam family: Bacterial large subunit ribosomal RNA
Source: RNAcentral
AAGCUGCUCCUAGUACGAGAGGACCGGAGUGGACGAACCUCUGGUGUUCCGGUUGUGACGCCAGUCGCAUUGCCGGGUAGCUACGUUCGGACGGGAUAACCGCUGAAAGCAUCUAAGCGGGAAGCCCCUCCCAAGACUAGUUCUCCCCGACCCCUUGAGGGUCCUUAAGAGCCGUCCAAGACUAGGACGUUGAUAGGCUGGGUGUGGAAGCGCUGUAAAGCGUUGAGCUAACCAGUACUAAUUGCUCGUGCGGCUUGACCAU